Molecule: long non-coding RNA, 96 nt
Organism: Mustela erminea (ermine)
Lineage: Eukaryota; Metazoa; Chordata; Mammalia; Carnivora; Mustelidae
Exons: 4
Source: RefSeq, a predicted model, not a curated record
CACAGUUUCAUCCUGUGACUACCCUGAGCACUUCUUCCUCCAGAUCACAGCUCCAGUCACCACAGUGACCACAAGGAGAGCCAGACCAGCAAUGAU